AUGGACAUUUUUUGCUCCCAUGCCAGCACAAAAUGGAGAGACUGGGCCAAACUAUGUACAGAUCUUGCGAAGGAAAUCUCCAAUCGGCUACUCACCUUUGACAUUGCAGACUACAUCCGCUUUCGGGCAACUUGCAAGCCAUGGCGUGACUUCACUGAUGACCCCCGCACAUGUGAUGCGAUGGACAUCCGCUUUCGCCCACGCAACUGGAUCACGCUCGCUCACUGUGCAUCCCCGUCAGGUCGUACCCUUCUCAAUGUCACCACCGGUGCCCGUACCAACAUUGACUUCCCGGAUCUAGACACCCACCAUUUCCUCAGCACGGCCGACGGCCUCCUUGUCCUUGGCCAUAAGCGCACUAAUACCAUUAGUCUUCUCCACCCAUUCACCGGUAAGACCACUGAGUUCCCUUCACAUUGCGCACCAUCCACAUCGAAUAGGCGCCUCCGAGUGAACUUAUCUGCCAUCAACGGUGCUGGCAUCGAUGACUCAACUAUUCCUAGUACGCUCGUUAUUAGCCUGAGAAAUGGUUUGCGUCAAGUUAUUUGUGCCAAGCCUAGUGACAAGCUUUGGGCUUUUGUGCAAGCUAUCGACCAAUGCUCGGCUAGCUUUCUUGACAAGGUUAGAGGCCAUUCACCGCUGACCUUUGGAGGGCGAUGCUACUUCAUGACAUCGGACGACAUGAUAAUUGCAUUGGAUUUGACUCCUGGGGUUGAACCUCAUAUGGUUUGCCUCCUCGAUAAAGACCCACAGUUGGUGAACCAUCAUGAAACAAUAGUUUACCCCUAUCUUGUUAGGUCCCAUGAUCGAAUGCUCAUCAUGAGGUACCUCUUCGGUAGGAACCUUCUCCAGGAAGGUGGAUACAAUGAAGAAGAUAUAUUCAUGUGGCAAGAUUGCCCAUCCCAUAUGGAGGUGCUUGAAGUGGACCUCCCUAGGAGGAGAUUGGUGACACAACAUGGAAUUGGUAGCCAUUGUGCAGCAUUCGUUGGCGCAUCUCACACAGUCAUGGUAUCCACUGAGAAAUUCCCUCGGAUCAUUUCCAAUGUGGUGUACCUCAACUAUCAUAUGCAAGGAAUAUUUCGUCAUUUUGCUGCCUACUGCUUUGAAGAUAAGACAACUAUAUCCGCAAAACACUUUCUCAAUCGUCGAAUUGGCAAAAACUCUCCUUGUGCUUGCCACUGGGAGCUUGAAGAUUAUCUUAUGUGUGAUGUUGAGAAGGGAUAUCGUAUGUAA
RNAcentral lists this ribosomal RNA (1233 nucleotides) under Triticum aestivum (bread wheat). Its description in RNAcentral is "partial small subunit ribosomal RNA". The record is from RNAcentral. Lineage: Eukaryota; Viridiplantae; Streptophyta; Magnoliopsida; Poales; Poaceae.